ACCGUGAACAUCACUGCUUUUGGGAGAGAGAAUGCAUCUGGAACUGGUCUUUUCUCAUGACCGUUAGCGUCCCCACCUACUUCAAGUUAGGAGGGCAGUUUGAGUCUGGAGUGCAUCAUUUCCUGAAGAUCCUUUUGACUUGACUUUGAGGAAGAGGUUGACCACAGGUGGGAAACACACCUGCAACAUAUCCAUCACAGCUGACAGAAGAAUGGAAUAAUGUGAUGCCUGGAGCCUAUCAUGCCUGGAGACCAGCAUCCCUGGACCCCCUCCUCAUUGCCCAUUUUCUCUGUAUAAUUGCCUCAAGUUUCUGUAAACCUGGAAGUUGGAUUUUUGAGACGUUAGUCACCCAUCUUCUGAUUAGCCAGCUAAUCUAAUUAAACUUCCUUUCUCAUCUCUAACUUGUGAUUAAUUGGCUCAGAUCUCGGUGAGCAGAGUGAGCCCAUUGCUUAGUAUCAAAUUCUGGCGACCCAGAGAGGACCAUAGCCUCUGCCCGUGGCUGGUUGACUUGGAGGAGGCUCUUUUGGGAUUUUUCCCUGCAUCUGCCAGGUGGCUUUUUCCGCCUGGGGAAUUUCCCUGUGGCUUCCUCGCUUGCCGACUGCCUCUAACGCUUCAGUGAUUGGGAAAGGAAGAACCGGAUCAACUAGAUCGUAAACUGAAGAGCUUACAUCUGCAGGCCAGCUAGAAAUGCAAGUGCUGCCGGAACAUCAUCUUCAUGGUUCCAGAUGGCCCUGCUAGGUGUUCAAACACCACUGCUGGACCCACUGCCAUUGGAUCUUCAAGGAGGUAAGACUGGAUCUGUGGGCAGAUGGGAAGCCUAGGAAAACAAAGAAUGUCCAGCCAAUACGUAUACCCUUGAAAACCCCAAAGAUAAAGCUCAGCCUGAAACAAUAUCUGCUAAAAUAGAAGGCUCAGAAAGACAUUCAGCCAGUGCUGCAGACAUUCCUGGCACAGGAUUAAUCAAACCUUGCCAGUCACCAUACAGUACUCUUAUUCUCCCGGUCGAGAAACCAAAUUCAGAUGACUACUAGUUUGUUCAGGAUCUUCAUGCCAUAAAUGAGGUGGUUCAGGACCUGCACCCUGUGGUGCCCAGCCCUCACAUCUUGCUAACUAACAUUCCAGCUGAAUUUGGCUGGUUUUCUCUUCAGGAAGGAUGUGCAAGUAUCAGGCCAUUCUUUUGGACAAUCCAAAUGUACAGAUGUGAAUAUCAUCCUCCCUAAACCUAGCCACCUUGCUCCCUAAUGAGACAUCAGAUGCCAUAGAACAUGUCUGCUUACAAGUUAUUGAGAUGGUGUAUUCUAGCCGACCUGAUUUGCUGGAUUGCCCGUGGGAAGAACCGGACUUGGAACUCUUCACAGUUGGCAGCAGCUUCACGGAUCAAGGUAAGAGACACGUGGGAUAUGCAGUCAUAACUUCACAAGAGACUUUAGAGGCUAAGGCUCUAUCCCCAGGGACAUUGGCUCAAAAUUCGGAAGUCAUUGCCCUUACUUGGGCUCUACAUCCAGCUCAAGGGAAAAAAGUAAAUAUAUACACACAUUCCUGUUAUGCCUUUGCUGUAGUUCAUGCUCAUGGGGCAAUCUGGAAAGAAAGAGGACUCUUAACAACAGGAAAAAAAGAAAUCAAACGUGGCCCUGAAAUUCUAGAACUGCUUGAUGCUAUUAAUGAGCCAGCUCAGAUAGCUAUCAUUCAUAGCUCUGGGCUACAGAGGGAGAAUCUAAUGGGUCCAGAAGUAUGUCAUAGGGCCCCAACUACAAAAGACUAUACAACAGGUGACUAAAAGUUGCAUAAUCUGUGCAAACAACAACCCCAAGACUGCUUCCGGUCCCCUACAUCUGUGCACCCAACAUAAAAAAAAUUUGGCCUAAUGAAGAUUGGCAAAUAGACUUUACCCAGAUGCCCUAUGCAGCUGGGAAUUUUAGGUUUCUGUUAGUGUUUAUGGACACUUUCAUUGGGCGGGUAGAAACCUUUUCCAUUCAGACUGAGAAAGCAUCAAAAGUCACUCGCAUGUUGCUAAAAAAAUCAUCCUAAAGUUUGGCCUGCCUAAUACCUUGCAGAGUGAUAAUGGACCAGCUUUUGUUUCCCAAAUAACCUAACAACUGUCCAAAAGCUUAGAUAUCCGAUGGAUACUACACUCAGCUUGGAGACUUCAAUCAACUGGAAAGAUGGAAAAAAUGAAUCACACCUUAAAGAAGACCAUUGCCAAAAUCUGUCAGGAAACACAACUAACUUGGGACAAGGCACUACCCCUUACCCUGCUAUGGGUUAGAGUAGAGUAUGAUGAGAGUGGACUUAAAUUGCGUCCUUUUGAAAUUCUAUAUGGGAGACACUUUCAGGCACCUUCCCUUGGGACUGAGUGUCUAGAUGUCUUCAGGAAUGUUAUGAUUGCUAAUUAUGUUAAAUCAUUAAGCUCUGUAUUAACUUCUGUCCAUGAGUUUGCUUCUCAUAGGUCUGCAUAUCUGUCUGAUGUCCCUCUAUAUGCCUUCCAGCCUGGUGAUCAUGUUUUGCUAAAAAUUUGGAAAGACCAGGGACCCAAAAACCAGUUGUCACCCAAACAGACAGGCCCUUCUGAGAUUCUUCUCACCGCUCACUCAUCGGUAGAACUUACAGGUGUAAAACCCUGGAUACAUCACUCCCAGAUCGGGGUGGCCCCCAAAUCCCAGGAAAGUAUCCCACAUGUAUCAAGGGGAAAAUGGGUGGUGGAACCCCUUGGGGAGCUAAAAUAGAUCUUUCACAGUUAACUCUUUUCCAUGCUAUGGUCCCCCUAUGACGUCCUGAUUUAGCAGGAAGUAGCCAGAGAAAGUACAACGCCCUAUCUCCCCCUUGACCAUAAGAUUAUGGGUUACUACUAACAGGGGGGAAAUUGUAAGUGAGCAAAAGUGAAGCCAUCUUGUUUUGUUAAAUGGCCCCAGCCCCUCAUCUGUGUGACUACUCACUGCUCUGCACAUACCUUAAAAAAUUCACAUGUUCUCCUGAUUUAUGGCCUCGGCUUACGUAUGUACUCCCUGAAACCUUGAUAAAUUAAAACUUUGUUCUAUGAGUUUCUCUCCAGGAACAGGCUGGCCACAGGUGGGAAACACACCUACAAUGUAUCCGUCACAGCUGAGAGAAGAAUAGAACAAUGUGAUGCCUGGAGCCCGUCAUGCCUGGAGACCAGCAUCCCUGAACCCCUUCUCAUUGCCCAUUUUCCCUAUAUAACUGCCUUGAGAUUCUGUAAACCUGGAAGAUGGGUUUUUGAGACAUUAGUCACUCAUCUUCUGAUUAGCCAGCUAAUCUAAUUAAACUUCCUUUCUCAACAUCUAACUUGUGAUUAAUUGGCUCAGAUCUCAGCAAGCAGAGGGAACCCAUUGCUCCGUAUCACUAUUUCAAUU
RNAcentral lists this long non-coding RNA (3368 nucleotides) under Equus caballus (horse). RNAcentral's name for it is "lncRNA (ENSECAG00000049842.1)". The record is from RNAcentral. Lineage: Eukaryota; Metazoa; Chordata; Mammalia; Perissodactyla; Equidae.